RNAcentral lists this unclassified non-coding RNA (21 nucleotides) under Mus musculus (house mouse). RNAcentral's name for it is "oocyte_clustered_small_RNA9447". Lineage: Eukaryota; Metazoa; Chordata; Mammalia; Rodentia; Muridae. The record is from RNAcentral.
UGGCAGCACCAGUGAAUGCAG